RNAcentral lists this unclassified non-coding RNA (154 nucleotides) under uncultured Mortierella. RNAcentral describes it as "sequence contains ITS1". Lineage: Eukaryota; Fungi; Mortierellomycota; Mortierellomycetes; Mortierellales; Mortierellaceae. The record is from RNAcentral.
UAAUAAGUGUUUUACUGCACUUUUUAAAAUAAGUACUCACCUUGUGUGCAAUGUUUGCUGACGCUGUUCGUUUUACGCGUUCAACGUCAGCAUAAUACCAACCUUUUAUUUAAAUUUUUUGUCUGAAGCUAUUUCGAAUAUAUAAUUCUAAAUA